GACGGAGGAUGCAAGCGUUAUCCGGAAUUAUUGGGCGUAAAGCGUCCGCAGGUGGCUAGUCAAGUCUGCUGUUAAAGCGUGCAGCUCAACUGCAUAUGGGCGGUGGAAACUGAUUAGCUAGAGUAUGGUAGGGGUAGAGGGAAUUCCCGGUGUAGCGGUGAAAUGCGUAGAUAUCGGGAAGAACACCAGUGGCGAAAGCGCUCUACUGGGCCAAAAACUGACACUGAGGGACGAAAGCUAGGGGAGCGAAAAGGG
Molecule: ribosomal RNA, 255 nt
Filed under: uncultured bacterium
Lineage: Bacteria
Description: partial 16S ribosomal RNA
Rfam family: Bacterial small subunit ribosomal RNA
Source: RNAcentral